UGUAAGCGUAUACCAAAGUUGUUGCAGUUAAAACGCUCGUAGUCGGAAUUUGGCAGUUCCGGAUGUGUGCACGUCGUGUGCGCACUUCGCGGGGAUUGCUUUUGUGGUCUUGCGUAGGAUGAGGCACUUUUAUUAGUGAACGUCCUCACGCAACCACUUUUUACUGUGAGAAAAUCAGAGUGCUCAAAGCAGGCAUUUGCCGUGAAUGUAUUAGCAUGGAAUAAUAGAAUAGGACUUGGUUCUAUUUUGUUGGUUUGUUGGGACUGAGUAAUGAUUAAGAGGGACAGUUGGGGGCAUUUGUAUUUCGGUGCUAGAGGUGAAAUUCUUAGAUUACAGAAAGACAAACUGCUGCGAAAGCGUCUGCCAAGGAUGUUUUCAUUGA
RNAcentral lists this ribosomal RNA (382 nucleotides) under uncultured eukaryote. RNAcentral describes it as "partial 18S ribosomal RNA". It matches the Rfam family "Eukaryotic small subunit ribosomal RNA", at positions 592 to 976 of the family's 1831-position model. The record is from RNAcentral.